Molecule: long non-coding RNA, 1432 nt
Organism: Chinchilla lanigera (long-tailed chinchilla)
Lineage: Eukaryota; Metazoa; Chordata; Mammalia; Rodentia; Chinchillidae
Exons: 4
Source: RefSeq, a predicted model, not a curated record
GUUAAGAACAGAACAACCUAUGUUUAAAUGUUAACUAGGUGACAUUAGCCCAACUCCAAGGUCAAGUGUUUGGGCGUGUACAACUCGAUCGCUAAAUGCCAAGUCUUUCAGAUCCCAAAGAAGGAUAAAAGAGCAAAUAUGGCGUGGCUCCAUUUGCAAGACACAGUUUCAUAACUACUUUUGUACGGUAGCUGUCAGAUACAUAUUCUCUUCCCUUGAAAUUUUUCUGGGUGAGACAGGGAUUCCACAGCCUGUCACUCCACCAGGACAGCUCCAUGUCUUAGGUCCGAAAGGCCUCUCUCGUCCCUAGAGCCAGAGUCCUAAAUAUCAGACAACAGCUUAUCGGCAAUCAGCUGUCUUCAAGGCAAAAGAAAGGACCAGCUAUGAACCUCAAGGUAUCAGCUUGAGACUAAGUGGCUGGAGAUUCGCAGUAUCAUUGUCAUACCCCAUUUUUUCCUCCCAAGACUCAAAAUAUCUAAUUUUUUUUGGCUUGACUCAAGGCGUCACUAACAUGAAAGGAAAGCCUGAAAGAAAUGAGCAGGCUAGCCAGAUGGGGUACAAUAUUCUUUUAUGAUCCUGGGCAGAAGCUGGAGCUGCAGUUCCCACUCAGCUAUGAAAUUAUGAGGGAAAACAACUAAUACUGGACAGCGCUGUGUGGAUGAGCUGAGUUUGGGUUGAAGAUGGAGCUCAGGGCCUCAUGCACAUUAGGUAAAUACUUCACCACUGACCGACACCCGCAGCCCUGCUUUGGGAUUCUGACGCAGUUUAUGAGGCCCUGUGGCAGAGGCAAGAGGCUGGAUCUCACAGUGGUGUACACCUUGGGUUGGAAUCCAGAUUCUACCACGUAUCCUCGUUUUAUCUUGAACAUAUUCAUAACCUUCUGAGACCUCGGUUUCUUUAUUCAUGUUACAAAAGAAUUAUUGUGGGGAUUUAAUAAGAUCAUGUAUGUAAAAACUUUUCCUAGUGCCAGCUUUGGCUGGCACUAGGAAACAGAGAGAAACAAUCAGGCCUCUAAACUCACCUGCUUUCUUAGCUCACAACCGUCUUCCUGCCUCUUGUCUUUCCGACUACCUUGAAUGCCCUGCAUAUGCAGCUAGAAACAUAGCUAAAACACUGCUGGGCACGCCACCUAACCCCAGUGCACAUAUUCAGCAGCUUUCCAGAUGUCAACGUAUUACCACUGAGCCUGGCACUCAGUGAUCUCUAAAAUCAACUUCCCAUCUCUCCCAAACUCUUGAAAUUUACUUUGACAAGGGCCCUACAUGUACCCAGUGCACCGUUCCAGGCAAGUGUCUCUGACCCAUGGUUCCCAAAAGCACAGUGUAAAACCUCAGCUCAAGCUCCUCUCUGCACAAGAAUGCUCUCUCCCUUUCCUCUACUGGCCUCAGUUCUACCUGCUCUGUAGUCAAAUCCCGAGUCCUCUUCUCUCAUC